This 215-nucleotide ribosomal RNA is filed under the name uncultured bacterium. Its description in RNAcentral is "partial 16S ribosomal RNA". It matches the Rfam family "Bacterial small subunit ribosomal RNA", at positions 328 to 539 of the family's 1533-position model. The record is from RNAcentral.
ACGCUCGACACCUACGGGAGCAGCAGUGAGGAAUAUUGGUCAAUGGGCGCAGGCCUGAACCAGCCAAGUAGCGUGAAGGAUGACUGCCCUAUGGGUUGUAAACUUCUUUUAUAUGGGAAUAAAGUUUUCCACGUGUGGAAUUUUGUAUGUACCAUAUGAAUAAGGAUCGGCUAACUCCGUGCCAGCAGCCGGUAAUCUGAGCGGGCUGGCAAGGC